CGCCCGGUCCCAUUCCGAACCCGGAAGCUAAGCCCUGGCACGGCGAUGGUACUAUGCCCGAGAGGACAUGGGAGAGUAGCACACCGCCGCAACCACACUUCACCGAAGGCCCGGGGA
RNAcentral lists this ribosomal RNA (117 nucleotides) under Bifidobacterium animalis subsp. lactis Bl12. Lineage: Bacteria; Bacillati; Actinomycetota; Actinomycetes; Bifidobacteriales; Bifidobacteriaceae. The record is from RNAcentral.